GAUGAACGCUGGCGGCGUGCCUAAUACAUGCAAGUCGAGCGAACGGACGAGAAGCUUGCUUCUCUGAUGUUAGCGGCGGACGGGUGAGUAACACGUGGAUAACCUACCUAUAAGACUGGGAUAACUUCGGGAAACCGGAGCUAAUACCGGAUGAUAUUUUGAACCGCAUGGUUCAAAAGUGAAAGACGGUCUUGCUGUCACUUAUAGAUGGAUCCGCGCUGCAUUAGCUAGUUGGUAAGGUAACGGCUUACCAAGGCAACGAUGCAUAGCCGACCUGAGAGGGUGAUCGGGCACACUGGAACUGAGACACGGUCCAGACUCCUACGGGAGGCAGCAGUAGGGAAUCUUCCGCAAUGGGCGAAAGCCUGACGGAGCAACGCCGCGUGAGUGAUGAAGGUCUUCGGAUCGUAAAACUCUGUUAUUAGGGAAGAACAUAUGUGUAAGUAACUGUGCACAUCUUGACGGUACCUAAUCAGAAAGCCACGGCUAACUACGUG
This 497-nucleotide ribosomal RNA is filed under the name uncultured bacterium. RNAcentral describes it as "partial 16S ribosomal RNA". It matches the Rfam family "Bacterial small subunit ribosomal RNA", at positions 28 to 507 of the family's 1533-position model. The record is from RNAcentral.